AGUGAACGCUGGCGGUAGGCCUAACACAUGCAAGUCGAACGGCAGCACAGUAAGAGCUUGCUCUUACGGGUGGCGAGUGGCGGACGGGUGAGGAAUACAUCGGAAUCUACUUUUUCGUGGGGGAUAACGUAGGGAAACUUACGCUAAUACCGCAUACGACCUACGGGUGAAAGCAGGGGAUCUUCGGACCUUGCGCGAUUGAAUUAGCCGAUGUCGGAUUAGCCAGUUGGCGGGGUAAAGGCCCACCAAGGCGACGAUCCGUAGCUGGUCUGAGAGGAUGAUCAGCCACACUGGAACUGAGACACGGUCCAGACUCCUACGGGAGGCAGCAGUGGGGAAUAUUGGACAAUGGGCGCAAGCCUGAUCCAGCCAUACCGCGUGGGUGAAGAAGGCCUUCGGGUUGUAAAGCCCUUUUGUUGGGAAAGAAAAGCAGCAGGUUAAUACCCCGCUGUUCUGACGGUACCCAAAGAAUAAGCACCGGCUAACUUCGUG
Molecule: ribosomal RNA, 492 nt
Filed under: uncultured bacterium
Lineage: Bacteria
Description: partial 16S ribosomal RNA
Rfam family: Bacterial small subunit ribosomal RNA
Source: RNAcentral